UUCGGCUAGUAGGAAAACCCUAUUUGCCGCUCGAGCAGAGCAAGGGAUUCGUCAGGCGGCGGCGGCUCGCGAGUACGAGCUCGACGGCGGCUGAGCAUCGUCGGGUUCGGGAGUUGGAGACUCGCAAGUACGAGUACCCACGUGGGUCUGUAGAUCGAGAGAGCAGUCAGGCGGCGGCGACUCGCGAGUACGAGCUCGACGGCGGCUGAGCAUCGUCGGGUUCGGGAGUUGGAGAGGAUGAGGGGGAGGCGGCGGCGCGGCGGGCGCCUGGGGUCUCGGCAUCCGACCUCAGGUCCAAGCUGCCGACGGAGGCUGUUGCGCCGCGAGCACGCUGAGCCUGAGGUAGCUGGACGACGGCCAGAGCGAUGCACGAGGAGGCGAGCCCGAGGGCGUCUUCGUCCAGAUCUCCUCACGCCGGUGCGCAUGGCGCCUCCUGCCGAUCGCGACGCGGUAAACGAACAGAGCAUGUGCUCGCGGCGGAGGAUGCUCUCUCGCUCCCGCGGAACGCUCGCCUCGCCCGCCACCACGGACAAGCAGGCAACAAAAUGGAGCAUAUUCCAGAAGGAUUUAUUUUGCACAUAAAAGUGAUGGCUUGGGCCUUCGGCACCAUGGUGGCAUCAGUUUGCACGUUGUCGCUCCACUUGUAUUGCUGGUUGCAAAGAAAGGUGCGAACAGUCCAUUAGGAGGUGAAACUUAAGCACUAUAUAGUGAAAAUUUCCCUAGCGUUGUGCGACUGCUGCUGUUGCAUUUAAAUCGGUUUGUCCAAAUCGACAGUCCGAGGCUCCAACCGAUGCAGUCGCGACCCCAUUCGCGACCCCACCUCUAUAUCAGCUCACCACCCAACCAGUUACACUCAGUUAUGUGACAGUUUUGAUUCAUUCUACAGAAUUAUUGGAACUCUGGAAUGACCAAAUCCCAAUUCUGCUUCAAAGGGAAAACACAUAACGUGGAAUCAGACAUUAUUUCUCUCAAAGCAUUGAUACACUUUUGCUCUGAGCUGUUGCAAGAAUUAACUGCUCUGAGCGAUCUUCUGCUCCUUGAGGUACCCUGCAAAUUUCUCAGCAGUUGCAGCCAGAGGUCCGGUGCUGACCAUAGCUUCAAGCCCGGGGCCAGGGAUCCCUAGCAAAAGCAGCAAACCGUUACUCGGUCAGUAUACACAUGGACGACUUCAGGAUUGAAGGGUAUGGUUUCUGGAUAUCUCACCUGGAGCAAAUGUGAGCUCCAAGAUGGUGCCGACGUCGCCAUCGCCGCUCACGAGCUGUAUCUUGGCGAGCACCUGCGGGAGAAGCUCGGGCAGCAGCUCUGCCGCACGGAGCGUGCCGUAGAGCCCCCAUAGGUCGGCG
Molecule: non-coding RNA, 1343 nt
Organism: Aegilops tauschii subsp. strangulata
Lineage: Eukaryota; Viridiplantae; Streptophyta; Magnoliopsida; Poales; Poaceae
Source: RefSeq, a predicted model, not a curated record